UAUACACAUAUAUUUAAAUAUACAAAGUAAAAUGAUGGUGAGGAGAAUAAAAAGUAGCUCUCUUGUUAGUGAUAGAGAAAGGAGAUGCAAAACGGAGAGGUAAAAGAAAAAUUUGAACUGUAAAGAUAAAUUAUGCGUGUGAAGCAAAAAUCAAUAUCACUGCCAGUUUAACAGUACGCAGCUUAAACAAAUCUGUCGACAAAAGCUAGCAGCAAAACACACACCGUAUGCUUUAUUUUUAAAAAGUAACUUUUUCCCCAACUCUGACGUAAUACGUGUAUAUUUUUACCCUCGCAUACACUCGAAAUGUUUUAUCACAGAAUGCUAUACUACUUUCGUUUCCUUGGGACGAGCCACGGGAGCUUCUCAAUUUUGACACAGAGACGACCGGCGGUUCCGCUUCUACCAUAAAAGCCGUCCAUAUUUCCGCUCGUCGUGGCAUCGAUCCAACGUGGCCACUCUUCCGUUUAACGCCCGUGUAAAUUAACAGCUUAACGAAUAUCGACGAAACGUUAACGGCAGACCGAAGAUCGUGAAAUUUCGUCGUCAUCGGCCCAAUGUCCGCGAUUGUCCGUCUGCGGCAUAACGAGAUAUCUCGUUAGCAGCCGCAUCUCGCGGCCGACGUCACCGGCCAAUGACGUAAUUAUUAAAUCGCAGAUCUUUUUUCGCACGCGCGCGCGGAACGUUAUCUCGCGGAACGGGACGAAGCAAGGCGAGGCGUUACACGUGGAAUCAAUUACGCGAACGUCGCUCACGUCGAGGCGCCGACGGUCGGAGAAAGCGACUGUCCAGCGAGCGGGCGAAGGCGAGAAAUCGCGCGCGUUUAAUUAACGGCGCGAAUCCACGAUCGAUCGUCGCUGUCACGAUAUCGAUGUCUAAUCCAGCCGAUCUCGCACGAUCGAGAAGCGCGCUACCGUCUCUCUUCCGUCCGUGCAUGCAUCUCGUGCGAAAAAUCCUGCGGACAAAAUUCAAUUUCGAAACGCGCUUCCUUCGAGCCUCCAAGUCGUAUGUACAAACCGGACGAAAGAACGGAGCUUUUCUUAAUUUCUCCCCAGUUUUUUCCCUUCUACUUUCGCACGACGUUUGCAUAUUACAUGCUUCGAAAGGAAAAAAGAAAUGUUUUAAUGCAUAUGACAGGACGGUAAUUGAAAAUUUUUUCAUUAACAUAUUGGCCGCGAGCAAUCGUAACGAAAUACUUUUUAUCGACAAUUUCGUUAUUAAAUGACCAUCAAUCUGGAUACGUGCGACGGGAACACAUCUCUCUUCUCGACAUUCCGACAUUAGUGAGACAAGCUGUGUCACGCGUCUAACUUUUUCGGCGAGUAAUGCGAAUAUUUUGUUUUAUUGUUUCCGAUAUUAAGCCAAGAAGAUGUAACGUUCGAAAGCGCGAAGUAACUUAUCGCGAUAAGAAUUUCGGGACGAUGAAGAAUCUAUGCGUGUUUCGUGCUAAAAGUCGGGAAUAUAGUUUCGUUUGUUCGUAAAACAUUGCUUCAUAAAUAAUUGACUGCUGCAUCUACUAAUCACCAAUAGGUUUCACCAAUAGCUCAGCCAUAAAAUGUCGAUUAAUGUCGACGUAAAACUUAAUCUUGAUUGCGAAAUAUUAUCAAAUUGUAUAUACGAUAGAAUCGGCUUACCUCGCGCGAUCGCAGGAACGCUGCGCUUUCACUUUUGUUUUCGAUUUUAUAUACACGACAUAUAAAUGUCUCAUGUAUAUUUACAUUAACGCUGGAAUUCAUUUGUAAACGGUGUUGUAUGAUUGACAACGCGCUCACGUAAAAUCUCGGAAAAUUCACGGUCUGUCGAGAACACAACUCGGCUCGGUAAAGUUGUUGAUACAUGAUAUUGGCUCGGUCACAACAACAUGCACGCGGACGAAAACGAAAGUGUGUGAGAGAGAGAGAGAGAGAGAUAAUUUAUACUCAUCCCGAUUAGAAAACGUGCCAAAUGCUCGCCUUCGUUGUUCUUUUUAGAAGAAAUUCGACAAUUUCUUUAAGGCGACUCUCAUCAAUAUCGGCGUUUCCAAGGGUCCACGUCGCUUUUCUCAAGCUUUAUUCACAUUGUUGCUCCAUUUUGACGACUUUUCUACAAACGGCACCGAGAGUCUGCACUCUUAACGAUCUCGAAGUAAAACCAUCUCGGCAAGUCUCGGACAUGUUUACGCGAAAACACGGGGACAACGGGAAAAACACCUGCUCACCUGCUUCCCGCGUAAAUGUACACGCACUUUCGAGUUUUAACGUUCAUCAACUCGUUAGCAGUCAAAUUUUAAAUCUAAUAGCCGCGAGGUUCGUUAAGUAGAUUAAGAGACUUCCAUAACUUCGCUGUAAAUUACUCUUAUGGCGGGAAAUGCUAUUACAUUUCCCCCCGAGCGGGAACUUUAGAAUCCUAUUUCUCAGUUUUGACAUAAAGGCACUUAGGUCCUUUUACAGAAAAGUCGUCCAUUUAAAUGGGACAAUGAACACUCCCGGUAGACAAAAGGACGCGACGCUUUAUAACGACGACACUUUUGCUACCCACUCGUUAUACCGACGGCGUUGUCAAUUACGUCAUCUCGCAGUCGCGUUGUAAAUGGGCGAUUAACGCGUAUGGAGGUUAAAUAUUUUAUACUUGCGAUGUGAGCACACACGAAGAAUGGCGCGAGCACGGCCUGCCUACCAGCCAGCGCGAUGCGUUUUCUCAGAGGUGUAAUAACGUGUAACAAGGUCGAACAGGUGAAUCGAUACGGUUAUUAUGUCUCUAUUAGUAUUAGGUGGCGAGCAUUUUUAACGGAUACGAGGUAAGGUAACGAUAUCGCGAAUAUGGAACACGUACGUCUCGCGACGUUCGAGAUGAAUAAACCUGUAAACGCAACGGAACUGAAAAAAG
Dinoponera quadriceps is the source of this 2865-nucleotide long non-coding RNA. RefSeq lists it as uncharacterized. The transcript has 3 exons. Lineage: Eukaryota; Metazoa; Arthropoda; Insecta; Hymenoptera; Formicidae. The record is from RefSeq and is a predicted model, not a curated record.